GGCUCGGAAGCCGACGCCACCAGCUCAUUUACAGGGGAGGAAGAGGACUGCCCGCGCAGCCCGCGCCUAGGCGCGACCGAUCCCCAGUAGCCUCAUGGGACGCUCCAGAGGACUCUCUCUGUGCCCUGCCACCGUGUUCCGAUCCUAGGCGUCCGGACUCCACGGUUCACCCUGACCGCAACCCGCGGCCUGUCCAGAGUGGAGUAUGCGGCCCGGAGCCCCGUGGACUCCGGCCACCGGGCGGCGCUGGCCUAGCUUCGGAGCCCAGAGCCCGAGGGCAGCAAGUGAGGAGCCGCGAGAGGCAGUAAGGCGUCGGGGCGCGGAGAGAAGCGCUCCAGCCCGGGUGUCCACUGGGCCGGGUGACCGGUGGGUGGCCUGAACGCCGGGCA
This 389-nucleotide long non-coding RNA is filed under the name Rattus norvegicus (Norway rat). Its description in RNAcentral is "long non-coding RNA NONRATT024814". Lineage: Eukaryota; Metazoa; Chordata; Mammalia; Rodentia; Muridae. The record is from RNAcentral.